Molecule: ribosomal RNA, 311 nt
Filed under: uncultured Enterobacteriaceae bacterium
Lineage: Bacteria; Pseudomonadati; Pseudomonadota; Gammaproteobacteria; Enterobacterales; Enterobacteriaceae
Description: bacterial SSU rRNA
Rfam family: Bacterial small subunit ribosomal RNA
Source: RNAcentral
UGGGAAGUAUUGCACAAUGGGCGCAGCAUGCAUGCAGCCAUGCCGCGUGUAUGAAGAAGGCCUUCGGGUUGUAAAGUACUUUCAGCGAGGAGGAAGGCAUUAAGGUUAAUAACCUUAGUGAUUGACGUUACUCGCAGAAGAAGCACCGGCUAACUCCGUGCCAGCAGCCGCGGUAAUACGGAGGGUGCAAGCGUUAAUCGGAAUUACUGGGCGUAAAGCGCACACAGGCGGUCUGUCAAGUCGGAUGUGAAAUCCCCGGGCUCAACCUGGGAACUGCAUUCGAAACUGGCAGGCUAGAGUCUUGUAGAGGG